RNAcentral lists this ribosomal RNA (1101 nucleotides) under Triticum aestivum (bread wheat). Its description in RNAcentral is "partial small subunit ribosomal RNA". Lineage: Eukaryota; Viridiplantae; Streptophyta; Magnoliopsida; Poales; Poaceae. The record is from RNAcentral.
AUGCCGGGUCUUGUCCCCUCCUCCUCAUCCGCCCACCUCCUCUCCCGCAGCCUCGCCGCCGCCAGGACGCUCUCCGCCGCCGCCGGUUACUCCUCCUCCCCCUCCCCCUCCUCUUCCGUCAAGAUGGCGCGCUCGGCGCUGGACGAGGUGACCGACACCGGCGCGUUCGACCGGACGCCGUCCACCUUCCGGAGCUUCGUGUCGAGGGACGCCUCCGCCCGCUUCCCCGCGGUGGCGGGCAGGUACCACCUCUACGUCUCCUACGCCUGCCCCUGGGCGUCCCGCUGCCUCGCCUACCUCAAGCUCAAGGGCCUCGACCACGCCAUCAGCUUCUCGUCGGUGAAGCCCAUCUUCGAGCGGACCAGGGAGUCGGACGACCACCUGGGGUGGGUGUUCCCGGCCACCGCCGACGAGGUGCCCGGCGCCAGCCCCGACCCCUUCAACGGCGCCAAGAGCGUCAGGGAUCUGUACGAGAUCGCGAGCACCAACUACACCGGCAAACCGACUGUCCCCGUGCUGUGGGACAAGCAGCUGAAGACGGUGGUGAACAACGAGAGCAGCGAGAUCAUCCGGAUGCUCAACGCCGAGUUCAACGACAUCGCCGAGAACCCCGGGCUGGACCUCAACCCGGCGCACCUCCAGGGCUCCAUCGACGAGGUCAACGGCCUCGUCUACGACGCCAUCAACAACGGCGUCUACAAGUGCGGCUUCGCCAAGAAGCAGGGGCCAUACGACGAGGCCGUCACGAGGCUGUACGAAGCUCUGGACAAGUGCGAGGAGAUCCUGGGCAAGCAGCGGUACAUGUGCGGCAACCAGCUCACGGAGGCCGACGUCCGCCUCUUCGUCACGCUCAUAAGAUUUGACGAGGUUUACGCGGUUCACUUCAAGUGCAACAAGAAGCUGCUGAGGGAGUACCCCAACCUGUUCAACUACACCAAGGACAUGUACCAGAUCCCCGGGAUCAGCAGCACGGUGAACAUGGAGCACAUCAGGAAGCACUACUACGGGAGCCACCCCUCCAUCAACCCCUACGGGAUCAUCCCCCAAGGCCCCAACAUCGAUUACAAUGCGCCACAUGACAGAGAAAGGCUGUUCCUGUAA